This 206-nucleotide non-coding RNA is filed under the name Nelumbo nucifera (sacred lotus). RNAcentral describes it as "Eukaryotic large subunit ribosomal RNA". It matches the Rfam family "Eukaryotic large subunit ribosomal RNA", at positions 1172 to 1379 of the family's 3401-position model. The record is from Rfam by way of RNAcentral. Lineage: Eukaryota; Viridiplantae; Streptophyta; Magnoliopsida; Proteales; Nelumbonaceae.
ACAUAGGGUAGAAAGCAUUGACCCCCUGGUCAUCUAGAAUUAUAGCUUAAUGAGAUUUGUUGAAAUAGAAUCUAGGAUUGAUGGAAGUCAAAAUCCGCUAAGGAGUGUGUAACAACUCACCUGCCGAAUCAACUAGCCCCUAAAAUGGAUGGCGUUGAAGCGCGCGACCCAUACCCGGCCAUCAGGGCGAUUGCCAGGCCCCGAUG